RNAcentral lists this ribosomal RNA (1000 nucleotides) under Limosilactobacillus fermentum. RNAcentral describes it as "bacterial SSU rRNA". It matches the Rfam family "Bacterial small subunit ribosomal RNA", at positions 84 to 1068 of the family's 1533-position model. Lineage: Bacteria; Bacillati; Bacillota; Bacilli; Lactobacillales; Lactobacillaceae. The record is from RNAcentral.
GUCGCCGACSAGUGGCGGACGGGUGAGUAACACGUAGGUAACCUGCCCAGAAGCGGGGGACAACAUUUGGAAACAGAUGCUAAUACCGCAUAACAACGUUGUUCGCAUGAACAACGCUAAAAAGAUGGCUUCUCGCUAUCACUUCUGGAUGGACCUGCGGUGCAUUAGCUUGUUGGUGGGGUAAYGGCCUACCAAGGCGAUGAUGCAUAGCCGAGUUGAGAGACUGAUCGGCCACAAUGGGACUGAGACACGGCCCAUACUCCUACGGGAGGCAGCAGUAGGGAAUCUUCCACAAUGGGCGCAAGCCUGAUGGAGCAACACCGCGUGAGUGAAGAAGGGUUUCGGCUCGUAAAGCUCUGUUGUUAAAGAAGAACACGUAUGAGAGUAACUGUUCAUACGUUGACGGUAUUUAACCAGAAAGUCACGGCUAACUACGUGCCAGCAGCCGCGGUAAUACGUAGGUGGCAAGCGUUAUCCGGAUUUAUUGGGCGUAAAGAGAGUGCAGGCGGUUUUCUAAGUCUGAUGUGAAAGCCUUCGGCUUAACCGGAGAAGUGCAUCGGAAACUGGAUAACUUGAGUGCAGAAGAGGGUAGUGGAACUCCAUGUGUAGCGGUGGAAUGCGUAGAUAUAUGGAAGAACACCAGUGGCGAAGGCGGCUACCUGGUCUGCAACUGACGCUGAGACUCGAAAGCAUGGGUAGCGAACAGGAUUAGAUACCCUGGUAGUCCAUGCCGUAAACGAUGAGUGCUAGGUGUUGGAGGGUUUCCGCCCUUCAGUGCCGGAGCUAACGCAUUAAGCACUCCGCCUGGGGAGUACGACCGCAAGGUUGAAACUCAAAGGAAUUGACGGGGGCCCGCACAAGCGGUGGAGCAUGUGGUUUAAUUCGAAGCUACGCGAAGAACCUUACCAGGUCUUGACAUCUUGCGCCAACCCUAGAGAUAGGGCGUUUCCUUCGGGAACGCAAUGACAGGUGGUGCAUGGUCGUCGUCAGCUCGUGUCGU